This is an RNA transcript of Nanorana parkeri, 1689 nucleotides long. It is a transcript of the gene named ADP-dependent glucokinase-like, with no coding region annotated. The transcript has 10 exons. The record is from RefSeq and is a predicted model, not a curated record. Lineage: Eukaryota; Metazoa; Chordata; Amphibia; Anura; Dicroglossidae.
GUGUGUUUAUAGCUCCUCCUCAGCCAGAGGAAGAGGCCGGGGCCAGGGAAGCUGCAGCUGGCUGCUUGUUGGAUGACACAAGCUGGAUGUGUGAGAAAGCAACAGCACUGACAACCUAUGUGGUAAUCCUUGGCUUCUGAAGAGGACCUGUACUAGGCAUUUCAUGGCUGCCCCCAAGCUCCUGUGUCUACCGCUGUUAUCUCUACUCGCCCUACUGGUCGCUUACUGGUUCCGCCAUGUGGAAGAGGACAGCUUACAUAACCGGUUGGACAUGGUGUUAUCAUCUCUGCUUCGAGCUGAGCAAAAAGUUGGACUGGAUGUCCAUCGUCCUCCGCGUAUAGCCAUUGGUUUUGGCGGCUGCCUGGAUAUCAUUGUAGAUGGUGUAGCUGUGAUGAAGGAAGCAGCUGUAGAGCCUAGUUAUAAACCGAUUCACCAUAACUUCAUUGAGACGGAGACACAGUUGGCUGAGAGUUUUGCCUAUUUCUUUCCUCCUGGUGCAGCUUCAGAGAGGUAUGUGUCCAACGAGACAUUGUUUACCAAGCUUGUAGAUGCCUCUAAAAGACUUCCUGAAAUGCGCUGGGCUCUGGGUGGGAAUGCUCCAGUCAUGGCAAACCGCUUAGCUGCUGAAGGAUGUGAUGUUCUACUAGGGGGUCGUCUGAGUCAAGAAGAAGCUAGUGUGUUAUCUGAGCGCAUCAAAGUUGCUGGUGAGCCAGUAGAAGAUGCUGACAUCCACCUUAUUAUGGAAUAUCCAACUGGUGCCAGAUGGGGAGACCACAUCUCUCGAAGAGCCAACAGGUAUAUCGUACACAGUGACUCUCACAAUCCCAUGAUUGACUCUUUGGAAGAUUUUAGAUCACAACUGGAAAGUUUUAUGCCUGAUCUUCUUGUGAUUGGUGGGCUACAGAUGAUGGAUAGUUUCCCCUUCAAACCAGGUCAGCGUGAAGCAAGAUUGAAGGCGAUUCAAGAAAUGGUGUUGUCCAUGGACCAAAAGAUAGGUUGCCACUUUGAGAUGGCAUCCUUUGUGGAGCAAAACCUCAUGAGGGACUUGAUAGAGUAUGUCAUACCCUAUUCUGAUUCUUUGGGAAUGAAUGAGCAAGAACUUCCAAAUCUCCUCAGUUUAAUUAAAGGGGGUAACAUUACAGUCUUAUCUGACCCUUAUCCACGUGUGGCUUCCAUUCUUGACCAAAUGCGUGAACUUUAUCAGCUGCUUGGAUCCAGGGAACUUAAAGAGGGUGAGAGGAGGCUGACCCGGCUACAUGUCCAUACAAUAGCAUUUCAAGCUAUGAUGGUGACCAAAGGCUCUAUGUGGAAGAACACGAUGUCUGCUACAGCAAAAGCAUCUCUUACUGCUAAUAGACAUGUGUGUGGUUCUGCACAUAUUGACACUGGCAAGGCUAAACUCAUCAUGGAUGAUUCUUUCUCAAUCAGCAGAGAAGAUGGCAGCCAGAGGAUACCUUUUAAGGAAAACCGUCCUGUGUCUUGUUGGGAAGAGGACACUUACGAGAUCUGUCUAGCACCUGUCUUAGUCUGUACUGAAGUUUUCCAGACAGCAGGUGGAGGAGACAAUAUAUCUGCUGCAGGACUGGUGUUGCAAAUCUGAUCUCAUAGUAGCUUCAUGAUUUUGAGAAGGCCAACAUUCCACAACUAGAGAAGUAUGUGUAAUUUUAGAUUUAUGUUUGUUUGCAGGGA